RNAcentral lists this long non-coding RNA (776 nucleotides) under Equus caballus (horse). RNAcentral describes it as "lncRNA (ENSECAG00000046195.1)". Lineage: Eukaryota; Metazoa; Chordata; Mammalia; Perissodactyla; Equidae. The record is from RNAcentral.
ACUUGUUUGAAGAGGUGGCAAGCUAAGCCUCCUGUGACUCAUCUUUGCUGGUCCUUGGGCCAGGGAGGGAAGGCUGGAACCAGCAGCAGAAGCAGACGGGUGAGGCCAUUCCUGGGGAGCCCCGGCCAGGGGUCUCUGGGGAAGGAGAGCCAGGCCAGGUGCCCGAGGUCUGGGAGCUGGUCGCCCAUGAUGACUAGGGCCUGAACAGGCAGAGAUGAGCCUGGCAGGUGUCGCCCCAGGGCCAGCGUCCAUUGCCUUCCCACAUCAGGAGGGCCUCGAGGAGGAGAGCACUCAGGAGCGAGGUGGGCGGCAGGGCAUCCAGGACAAAACCCCCCACACUGCACAGAGAGAGAGGUGGGGAGCAGGAGGGAGGAACAGGAGAGCCCCGCCCUGGACGUCAGAGACCACAACCACGGCUCACUUCCGGGAAGGUCUCUGGGACUAAUUGUGACCUUAGGCAGGAAAGCGUCCAGGUGAUCCGGUCUAACGUGCUGGAACUCAGAACCAUUCAACCAUCUCUGCAGACCCCAGACCACAGUCCACAGGCUUCUGAGGCCAGCUCCCCACUCACUCUUCAGCAUCAGCUCCCCCGCUCCCCUGGGAACUUCCAAGACACCCAGGCCUUGAACGUGUCUGGUCCCCCGGGGCCUGGUGCCAGCUGCUUCCCCGAGGACUCCUCCUGCAGAGGCUGCGUGGCCGGCUGCCUCUCGUCCUCCCUGCUCUGCUUGCAGCGAGGCCCUUCCUAACGCCUCCACCCUCCUCAGGCCUCCCUCCCC